This 322-nucleotide ribosomal RNA is filed under the name uncultured eukaryote. RNAcentral's name for it is "partial 18S ribosomal RNA". It matches the Rfam family "Eukaryotic small subunit ribosomal RNA", at positions 1470 to 1796 of the family's 1831-position model. The record is from RNAcentral.
CCCUUAGAUGUUCUGGGCCACACGCGUGCUACACUGAGUGGAUCAGCGGGUCAGGUUGCGCGAAAGUGUUUCCUAAUCUUUAAAUCCGCUCGUGAUGGGGAUUGACGGUUGCAAUUUUCCGUCAUGAACGAGGAAUACCUUGUAAGCGCGGGUCAUCAUCCCGCGCUGAAUACGUCCCUGCCCUUUGUACACACCGCCCGUCGCUCCUACCGAUUGAGUGGUCCGGUGAGGCUUUGGGAUCUGGGCGGAAAGAGCGUUUCGCUGUUUCUGCCCGGAAAACUCAGUCGAACCUUAUCAUUUAGAGGAAGGAGAAGUCGUAACA